RNAcentral lists this ribosomal RNA (444 nucleotides) under uncultured bacterium. Its description in RNAcentral is "SSU rRNA". It matches the Rfam family "Bacterial small subunit ribosomal RNA", at positions 26 to 518 of the family's 1533-position model. The record is from RNAcentral.
AGAGCGAACGCUGGCGGCAGGCUUAACACAUGCAAGUCGAGCGCCCCGCAAGGGGAGCGGCAGACGGGUGAGUAACGCGUGGGAACGUACCUUUUGGUUCGGAACAACACAGGGAAACUUGUGCUAAUACCGGAUAAGCCCUUACGGGGAAAGAUUUAUCGCCGAAAGAUCGGCCCGCGUCUGAUUAGCUAGUUGGUGAGGUAACGGCUCACCAAGGCGACGAUCAGUAGCUGGUCUGAGAGGAUGAUCAGCCACAUUGGGACUGAGACACGGCCCAAACUCCUACGGGAGGCAGCAGUGGGGAAUAUUGGACAAUGGGCGCAAGCCUGAUCCAGCCAUGCCGCGUGAGUGAUGAAGGCCCUAGGGUUGUAAAGCUCUUUUAACGGGGAAGAUAAUGACGGUACCCGUAGAAUAAGCCCCGGCUAACUUCGCGCCAGCAGCCGC